UACGUAGGGUGCGAGCGUUAAUCGGAAUUACUGGGCGUAAAGCGUGCGCAGGCGGUUUUGUAAGCCAGAUGUGAAAUCCCCGGGCUCAACCUGGGAAUGGCAUUUGGGACUGCAAGGCUCGAGUGCGGCAGAGGAGACUGGAAUUCCUGGUGUAGCAGUGAAAUGCGUAGAUAUCAGGAGGAACACCGGUGGCGAAGGCGGCUUCCUGGACCGACACUGACGCUGAGGCGCGAAAGCUAGGGGAGCAAACGGG
This 253-nucleotide ribosomal RNA is filed under the name uncultured bacterium. Its description in RNAcentral is "partial 16S ribosomal RNA". It matches the Rfam family "Bacterial small subunit ribosomal RNA", at positions 524 to 776 of the family's 1533-position model. The record is from RNAcentral.